RNAcentral lists this ribosomal RNA (323 nucleotides) under uncultured Rhogostoma. Its description in RNAcentral is "SSU rRNA". The stretch from base 56 to 323 matches the Rfam family "Eukaryotic small subunit ribosomal RNA", at positions 686 to 955 of the family's 1831-position model. Lineage: Eukaryota; Cercozoa; Thecofilosea; Cryomonadida. The record is from RNAcentral.
GAUUUCUGGUACAAUGCACCUGGCCCGCGGCCUAUUAGGCUUGUGAGUGCCGGCGCGCGUUUACCAUCCUUCUAGAAAACAGGCCUGCCCUUUACUGGGUUGGGUUUGCGAUCUAGAUCUUUUACUUUGAAAAAAUUAGAGUGUUUAAAGCAGGCUUUUGCUAUGAAUACAUUAGCAUGGAAUAAUAAUCUAGGACUUCGGUUCUAUUUUGUUGGUUUCUAUAACUGAAGUAAUGAUUGAUAGGGAUAGUUGGGGGUGCUAGUAUUCAGUGGCCAGAGGUGAAAUUCUCGGAUUCACUGAAGACUAACUUAUGCGAAAGCAUU